AGAUGAACGCUGGCGGCAGGCCUAACACAUGCAAGUCGAACCGUAACAGGAAGCAGCUUGCUGCUUCGCUGACGAGUGGCGGACGGGUGAGUAAUGUCUGGGAAACUGCCUGAUGGAGGGGGAUAACUACUGGAAACGGUAGCUAAUACCGCAUAACGUCGCAAGACCAAAGAGGGGGACCUUCGGGCCUCUUGCCAUCGGAUGUGCCCAGAUGGGAUUAGCUAGUAGGUGGGGUAACGGCUCACCUAGGCGACGAUCCCUAGCUGGUCUGAGAGGAUGACCAGCCACACUGGAACUGAGACACGGUCCAGACUCCUACGGGAGGCAGCAGUGGGGAAUAUUGCACAAUGGGCGCAAGCCUGAUGCAGCCAUGCCGCGUGUAUGAAGAAGGCCUUCGGGUUGUAAAGUACUUUCAGCGGGGAGGAAGGGAGUAAAGUUAAUACCUUUGCUCAUUGACGUUACCCGCAGAAGAAGCACCGGCUAACUCCGUGCCAGCAGCCGCGGUAAUACGGAGGGUGCAAGCGUUAAUCGGAAUUACUGGGCGUAAAGCGCACGCAGGCGGUUUGUUAAGUCAGAUGUGAAAUCCCCGGGCUCAACCUGGGAACUGCAUCUGAUACUGGCAAGCUUGAGUCUCGUAGAGGGGGGUAGAAUUCCAGGUGUAGCGGUGAAAUGCGUAGAGAUCUGGAGGAAUACCGGUGGCGAAGGCGGCCCCCUGGACGAAGACUGACGCUCAGGUGCGAAAGCGUGGGGAGCAACAGAUA
This 761-nucleotide ribosomal RNA is filed under the name Enterobacteriaceae bacterium DHL-32. Its description in RNAcentral is "bacterial SSU rRNA". It matches the Rfam family "Bacterial small subunit ribosomal RNA", at positions 26 to 777 of the family's 1533-position model. Lineage: Bacteria; Pseudomonadati; Pseudomonadota; Gammaproteobacteria; Enterobacterales; Enterobacteriaceae. The record is from RNAcentral.